Long non-coding RNA from Bombyx mori (domestic silkworm), 486 nucleotides. RefSeq lists it as uncharacterized. The transcript is spliced from 2 exons. NCBI's taxonomy places the organism in Eukaryota, Metazoa, Arthropoda, Insecta, Lepidoptera, Bombycidae. The record is from RefSeq and is a predicted model, not a curated record.
AGCUGUUGCGCUGUGGUAAAUGAGCGUGGACUGUAUUUAUUGCUUUUGAGAAAUUUAUUAGUCCUUAUGUGACAAAUUAAAGAUUGAAUUUAAUAGAAACAUGAAAUCGAUGUGUCGCUCCAUAUUUCAGUAGUCGCUCCUGGCGGCUGAAAUUGAAAGGAAAAAAGUGUCUUAGCUAUGGUCAUAGCGGACGUCACUCGUUGAGACUUUGACGUUCCGAAAUCCGAGCAGCAGCAGAUUUGAUUAUAAAACUAUUUUCUUCUAAAUUUAAAAAGUCAGGUGCCUCCAUGUUUUCUCUUAGCAAUUAUCUAAAUAGUAAAAAGUAGCGUCAUAAAAUUAAAUGUAUAAGCGCGGCUUUUGUCUACUUCUAUUUGAAGAGAAGGAUAACCGUUGUUCGAGAUUUCGAUCUUAUUGUACUACUUUUUAGCUCUGGACCUGUGGUAUUUUAUAUAAAUAUAAAUUCGAUAAGAAAUUUUUUAUCUAUGU